Long non-coding RNA from Anolis carolinensis (green anole), 3674 nucleotides. RefSeq lists it as uncharacterized. NCBI's taxonomy places the organism in Eukaryota, Metazoa, Chordata, Lepidosauria, Squamata, Anolidae. The record is from RefSeq and is a predicted model, not a curated record. The transcript has 3 exons.
UCCUAUUAGUAGUGUUCCGUCUCCCAGGGGUUUGAUUUGCAUUUUCCCAUGGUUGUAGGGAAUAACACUCUUUUUGCAUUUUUUCCAGGAUUGCUGCAGACUCAGCAGCACUCUGACAGUUAGCCAUUAACAGAGAUUUGUAACCAUUCUGCAAAGUCUUUGCUGCUGAAAGCUUGCAAAGUAUCCUUUUGUUUUUGAGACUGCCCCUUUUCCUGGGGUUGAAAUCUCCAUUUUGAGAAGCUUUUUUUGCCUUUCCACAGAAGAGAAAAGAACUCAGAUGUGCUUGUGUGGUCAAGCCAGGCCAGCUUAGACAAUCCAUCGUCUCUGCUUGUUGCAAAGGAAAUGAAUAUCUCUGCACAAUUCUUACCAAGUGUUCACACAUCUCAAGGAAACAUUUUAUGGAAGAGAAAUAACAGACAAAGAGAGAUGGCGAAGAUGUUAAGAUUCAUCAAACAAUCAUCAAGGAGAACAUACAAUUAAGAUGAAAAAGAUUUUGCUUACAGAAGGACAUAAUUUUCAAUGGUUUUCAUUUGCUGACAAACCAAAAACCACAGUCAUGGAUUGAACUAAAGGCAACUUUUAUUGAAUAGUUACCUAUUUAUGCUGUUUCUUGAGGUUAAUCAAACUAUUUGGGGGAGCAAUCUGUUAUAGGAGCAGUUGAGGGAGUCUGUCAUCCCUGACUUGAGCCCUCAACAUCCUCUUGGGCAUUACACAGAAAUCCCUAAGAGCAAUCCAUAAUUUACAUGGUUGCUCAAAGUCCAGUUCUUAUCCUGGAAAACGAAUCAAGGGUUGUAUGCCCCCAAAGUUGCUUUUGACUUCUAACUAGACCCCAGAGACCAGCCCAAGGACAGGAUGUUAAUCUCCUACUCCCCAGAUUGCUUGACCAGCAAGGGGGGUUGAAAAUUCUCAUCCAACAUCAAAUUGUGCCAGUAGGUGAACACCAUACCAUAGCUCCCUCCUAUACCUUCCACAAAUAGGGGGCCAGUGUCCACUGAGCCCCCCUUUCCCCCACCAGAACCACAAAUCAUGUAUUUAAUGGCAUGUUCCAAAUCCCCUGGCUCUAAUCCUAGCUCAGAAAGAUGAACACCAUCUGACCAUAGUAACUCAGGUCGUUUAUAAGUAAUUUCAGGGUGAUUAAUAUGACAACCCAAACCAUUAACUAUGGCACGUCUAAUUUCCCUAUUUACCCUUUUUUGUGCUACAUCCAACCAAUUAGCAUCUCCUUCCCCAGGCCAACAUUGUCUAGAAAUGAUGACAGAUCACAAAAUCUUAGUAAAGGGCCAAUCCAUGUCAAUAAUGGUGUGAAUUAUAAGGGCCUUCUCUACCAAAAGUGCAAGGUCAUUGUCCCCAAGAUGUAAGAUCAAUAUGUGGGGAGGCAGGCCACAGUGAUCAUUAAACAACUGUGGCAAUAAGCUGUGUCAAUGAAGCCUCCUCCAGCCCAGCCAUUUGACAGUGUCUAUACCACCAAGGCUCAAAUGAGGUCCAAAAUAGCUCCUGCGCACGUGACGCUUAGCCCAGAAGGUGAAGCUGUGUUCACAAAUAAAGACUCUAUGUUGUACUGGCUUGUAACAUAAAGCUGGACUAGACAGAGCUUUUGUCUGAUUCAGAAUUGUUUUUUAUGUUCUUACCUGCAGAAAAUAUGGCUGGGAUGAUGACAACUCACAGCCCAGAGACUAUUUUGGUGGCAUUUCUGUAGCAACCAUAAUCUCUCAUACUCAACAGAGGUGUCCAAAUAUUACUCCACUUCCCUUCUACCCUACUCUUUAGCUAAUUCACGUGGGAGAUGUACUGACUAGAUUAGUGGUUUCUCUAGCCUAAGCAGUCAAUUGACACAAAUCUAAUGAACACUGAGCACGUAGAGGUGUGCAAUUCAGCCAAAACGCAUGCUGUUUUGGGGUCCAUUGUCGGCUGACCCCUCAUUCAGUUUACUAGGAAGUUACUUGAAAGGAGAGGGGUGUUGCCGUUUUCAUUCGGCACAGAUUCGGCCCAUCGACUACAAUGGGAAAUUGUAAAGGUGCAAUCCUCAGCCAUUUUAAGACCUAUCUGCAAAAAACCUACCUCUGUUUUAGAUCCUAUUUACAACUGCAGGCCUGCCAAGUUUGGAAACAAUUCACCACUCUAGUAAUUUCUUAGAAUUAUUGUAAGUUUUAUUGUAACAUUUUUAAAAAUAAGACAAACCACAACAGAGGGUUCUGGGAAUUGUAGUCACCAGUUGUGUCCAUUCUCAGUCUAUCAGAGCAUGGACACCACCAGACUUUUUAUUGGCUGAGAAACACAGAGAGAGAAAAGCCUCAGCUCCCAUCAUGCUCCAAGAUGAACUUUUCAAUGCAUGCCCUAUGCAAGUGCUGCUGGGAAAGUGAAUUCCCAGGGCCCUCUCUGGAGGAGGAGGGAUCUUUCCACGAAGAGCUGGGGGGUGCUGCUUCUGUUGGGGAAGGGGGGAGAUUUCUGCCUCAGGUAUAUUGCAGACUUAAUUCCUUCCUCAACCAGAAUUGAUAAAAUCUGGCUCUCUCAAUUCGUUUUCCCAGGCUUUCGUCUCUCUUCUCCCUAUUCUGUUUUCAGAUAUUAUUUAAAAUGGCCCACUGAAAACUACAAAGCAUUCUUGGUCAAACCAAUUCAGGCCCAAGCCAAAUGAGCAGGGUAGAAGUGGUACAACAUUUAUCAUACCUCCAGAAAGCUUAUGUUUGCUGUAUCUUGCAUAAUAUUUCUGAUUCAAGAAAUCAAAAAAGGAUAAGAAUUGGAAAAGCAGUUAUGAAGAAUGAGAUAAAAUCUUCAAAUGUAAAAAUAUAUCAUUACAUACAAAAAUUAGAACAACCCAUACCAUAUCAUUUUGAUAUCUAUGUUUGUGGGUGAAAGGGGGACAGUGAAGAAAACUCAUAGGAAGAGAAUACCAUAGACUGUCAAAAAGACAAAUAAAAGGUCCAAAAGCAAAUAAAUCCUAUAGUCUUCCUAGAACCAAGAUGACUAAACUAAAGCUUUUAUGAAACAAUGUGGCUGAUUAGAAAAGACAACAAUGACAAGCUAAAGUGGAAGGCAGAAAUGAAAGAGAAAGACCACUUUACAAAUGGAUUGAUUCCAUAAAGGAAAACUCAGCCCUGACCCAGGUUAAGCUCUAGGACACAUGGAGAUUUCUCAUUCAUAUUGUCAUAGCAAUUCAUGACAAAGAAUAGCUUUAGUUCAGAAGGAGGUGGUAAACUGUGGUACUUGAGCAAUAUCAAUUCAAAGUACAGCAGGAAUUACUUGAUGAAAUGCAAGGGUCAAGGAUUUUCAUUUCCCUUUCUCUAUCUCUGGCAUGGUAUCUUCUAGGACCUCAUCUCACUUGAGCUUGGAUCCACUUCAAAUCCACUUUAGGGAGGGGGCUUUAAACAGCUCAGUCAGACAGAUCCUGGGCCUCACCAAACUACAAACUCUGGAAUUCUGCAAGAGGCAGAAACCAGAUUUAAAGUGGAUUCAUACUCUAGUAUGAUGAGGCAGCCAGUAUAUGGGGUGACUUUUCAUCAUUCUUUUUUUUUUAGAUGUUUUUUAUUUCUUUUUGAUACAUCAUAACAAUUAACUAUUUUUGCCAUACAUAACUUAUUUCAGUAUACAUUGUUCCAAAGGUAACUAUUUCUUAAAUGACAUUUUAAACAGUUCUUAGAAAUGUAUCACCCUCCACCCCCACCCUCCCCCCAUACCCC